RNAcentral lists this long non-coding RNA (245 nucleotides) under Elaeis guineensis (African oil palm). RNAcentral describes it as "long non-coding RNA (EGUI_LNC044887)". The record is from RNAcentral. Lineage: Eukaryota; Viridiplantae; Streptophyta; Magnoliopsida; Arecales; Arecaceae.
AGAUCGAAGUCUUGAGGGAAGGGCGUGAAAUACUACAAGUGUCAUCAGACUAGUCAUAUUAGGAGGAAUUGCCCACUUCUAAAGAAUGAGAAGGGGAAGGGCACUUCUAAAGGUGGUUCAACUAGUGGGAGUCAUGCUCUCUCAUCUGAAGAUAGUGGAGAUAAUAUAUUGGUUGUGUCAGAUGGGGUUGCAGAGUUGGAUAGCCACUGGACACUAAAUUCAGCACAUUUCCACCAUUACACAGC